AGAUGCUGGGCCCAGACAAGCGCUCUUCCGCGAGCGUGCCGGGAUGAGCGGGGGCUGGACUUCUAGAAAGGGGUCUGCGGGCGCAGGAGCUGGGGUCGGCGGUCUGGGGCCGCCAACACAAGCCAUCAGCCCCAUGCUCAGCUCCCAGCAGGCAGAGGGUUCAGAAGCGCCAGUGCCAUCAGCUUGGGAGCCUGCAGUCCACACACCGCUGACCUUACCUACUUCCUCUUUCCAAGUUGAUAGAUUUUUUGUUCUUGGCUUCUCCACCUCCCCCACCCCUCCAUCUCUGGUUUGGCACAAAGUGGCCCCCUGGUUGGGGGUGAGCCAGCCAUCUCUGGGGGUUGAGUCUGGACUGUAGAGCUGUAGGUGCAGAUGUCCUCAGCCAGCCUGUCUUCCCUUUUCUCUUGCAGGUGGUAGAUUACAGACUCUCCUCUGGGAAAUUGCCCCCAGAUCUAACAGCAGUACAAGAAGCUGGGUAGAUUGGAAAACAGCAUCGAAUUCCCCUGAAACUGAGGUCUCCCCUAAUUCCCCUGAAACUGGGGUCU
RNAcentral lists this small RNA (545 nucleotides) under Pongo abelii (Sumatran orangutan). RNAcentral's name for it is "retained intron". Lineage: Eukaryota; Metazoa; Chordata; Mammalia; Primates; Hominidae. The record is from RNAcentral.